AGAUGGAAAUUAUCCAGAUCACAUCUUUCUUGCUGACAUAAAUGAUGAGCUGGUGAUUGUUCCAGAACACUGAGUAUGUUGGUUAGGCUAUAUCUUGAAUAAUGCAUGAAAUUCAUCUUCUCUAGCAACUCAGACAAUUCAACGGAGUAUGGAGACCCUGCCGUGCGCAUUUGCAGGCAAUAGCGUGCCAUCCACUCCGCGUGUCAUGUGUUUGAAAUGAGGAGGGAUGCUGAAUGCAUCAGGUCCUAUCCUAUUAUAUAAUUAUAGUCUAAUCUCCUUUUCUUAAAUCAUCAACUGACUGGACUUUGAUUCAGAUUGGACACAAACAGGUGAUGUUACAUAGGACCUUAAUUGUCACACCUUUCAACCUUCCAAGACAACCAUCAGAACUGACAAGCAAGUUUACAUGACUGCCGUAUACAAGUGGUGGCCAUACACCGUACCAGGGGAUAAUGACUGAAACGGGAGUUACAAGAGUAAAACGCAGGUGAACUUUCCAGGAGAAACUUGGUCAACGGGACAAAAUGUAUCAAUAUCAACUAGUUAUCAUUUGUAGCUCCAAAACAACACCUUGAAACAUUCAUUCUAAGCAGCAUGGUAUGAAGACUAUAUUUACAGGCCGGGGUACCAAUCUUCGGGGGACUUGGGCAGAGCAAUGGACCACGGUACAAUAUAUAUUGAAUUUUCACCGAGCUCAUGUCAUAUUCGCCCUUAGAAUCCUCAUCUUCCUUGGCCAUACACACUUGUCAAGUCAAUCUUCAGAGUGGCAUGUCCAGUAGAUUAGCCCACUGCAAGGUAUAUCACCAAACAUUAUAAGCGAUGGAAGGAAGGUGCAACAGUGCAAGGAACAGACCACGGUAUAGGCAUGCGAUAAGUAGUACCGUCCCGUAAAUACCUGACUAACACACAAAACA
RNAcentral lists this long non-coding RNA (914 nucleotides) under Setaria italica (foxtail millet). RNAcentral's name for it is "long non-coding RNA (SITA_LNC000508)". The record is from RNAcentral. Lineage: Eukaryota; Viridiplantae; Streptophyta; Magnoliopsida; Poales; Poaceae.